RNAcentral lists this ribosomal RNA (371 nucleotides) under uncultured bacterium. RNAcentral's name for it is "partial 16S ribosomal RNA". It matches the Rfam family "Bacterial small subunit ribosomal RNA", at positions 338 to 701 of the family's 1533-position model. The record is from RNAcentral.
CCUACGGGAGGCUGCAGUGGGGAAUUUUGGACAAUGGGCGAAAGCCUGAUCCAGCUAUGCCGCGUGAGUGAAGAAGGCCUUCGGGUUGUAAAGCUCUUUCGGUUGGGAAGAAGUUUAUCUGUUUAAGAGAUGGAUAGAUUGCCGGUACCGACAGACGAAGCACCGGCUAACUACGUACCAGCAGCCGCGGUAAUACGUAGGCUGCGCGCAUUAAACGGAAUUAUUGGGCGUAAAGGGUGCGUAGGUGGGUAAGUAAGUCAGAUGUGAAAUUCCCGGGCUUAACCUGGGAGCUGCGGUUGAAACUAUUAGGCUAGAGUACAGGAGGGGGAGGUGGAACUCCAAGUGGAGCAGGGGAAUGCGGAGAUAUAAGG